UGACAUGGCCGCACCUGAGUGCGAGUACCUGAUCCAUCUGAUCUUAGAAGCUAAGCAGGGUCGUGCCUGGUUAGUACUUGGAUGGGAGACCACCAUGGAAGGCCAGUGGGUUUUGUCAG
Molecule: ribosomal RNA, 119 nt
Filed under: Mastacembelus armatus (zig-zag eel)
Lineage: Eukaryota; Metazoa; Chordata; Actinopteri; Synbranchiformes; Mastacembelidae
Source: RNAcentral